GGGACUCUGAGGGCAGACGCAGCAGCCGGACUCAGCGGACCUUCUGUGGGCACAGAGUUGUUGGCUGGGGCAACUCUUAAUCACCUCCCCCAGUUACUGCCUGAAGCCCCUUCUGCCUUCAAUAUGCGCCUCCUCCUUUACCCCUCACAGCCGCCCCGAGGUCAGUUUCCUUAUGAUUCCCGCUUUAGAGAUAAAGAAACUGAGGCUAGAGGGGUCAUGUCCAAGGUCGUACAGCCCUGAACAUGAAGCAGGCAGGAAUUAUUGGCACAUCAUGGUGACGGCGAGGCCCGCGCUGUUACAAGAAUGUCUGACGGGUUUAUAACACGCUUUUAUCACAAGCCACAGCUGUUGAACUGAUUUCUGAUGAGGUUUCGUGACUUCCCAUCAUGUGUAACGCUGCACAGGACCCCUCCGUUGGGGGCAUACCACAGAAGCAGGAAGCCAAGCCAGACCCUCCCGCGGGAGCCUUGGGAUGCAGAUCCCCAGGCCUCUGCUGUGCACAGGGUGCGACAGAUCCUAAGAGGAGCCCGGCAGUGAGCGCUCUCAACCUCCCCAGGAGCAUCGACGGGCACCCCAACUUUGUGCCUAGAGCCUGUUUGAGGUUGAUUAUGCAAUUCUGGGGGUCACCUCAAUUCUAGGAACAGGUGGGGCAUGAUUGGAUCAUGAGUGUCCCCUGCCCUUUAAAGAGGGCCAUGGCAUGGCCAGUCUCAUUACCCCGGCUUGACAAAGCUUUUUUUUCCUUUUUUGGUACCCGGAAUUGAAUCCAGGGGUGCUUAAACCAUGCACCCACAUCCCCAGCCCUUUUUUUUUUUUUCGAGACAGAGUCUCACUAGGUUCCUUUCAGCUUUGCUAAAUCCCUGAGGCUGGCCUCCAACCUGCAAUCCUCCUGCCUCAGCCUCCUGAGUCACUGGGAUUCCAGGAUGCACUACAGCACCUGGGUAGGAAUCUACUUUUUAAAAGUUCCCCCAGAUUCUGGUCCUGAGCAGUCAUCACAGGGAACAGCUGCCCUCCAGCAUCUAUUUAGCACAGCUUGGAACACCUGCACCGUUCUUAGACUAUUUGUUCUUUAAUGAUUGAUGACUCAAUCUAGCGGCUGUGCACAUUUCCCCGGGCCAGUCACACCUGCUUGGAAGCUGGAACUGCAGCCACACGGGCUCAGGCUGUAGGAAGGGGAGAACCCUCCCUUUCCAUGACCUCCCUGAGCAGGGUGCCUAGGGCACAGGGGGCCGCCUGGUGGGAGACCCUGGUGGGCCCUCCUCUUGGUGGCCUCCGGGGGUCCUCCCCAUUCUGUUCUCAGCAGUGGCCGGGUAGCAGCCUGCUCACCAUGGGGCUCCAGCUGCCUCUCCAGGAUCAGCAGUGACUCAGCACCAGGGGUUGCCACUCACUCUAGGAAGCCACUCGGGCAGGGUCUGCGCCAGCCUUCCUGUCUUGCAUGCUAAGUCAAGGGUGUCUGCUCCAUAUGGUGACGCAUAAUUUACAGUGCCAUUGACUUCCUGCUUAGGUAGCCUAUUCUGUACAAAGCUUCCAUUUGCAUAUUUAUUAAUUUACAAAAUUAAUGCCAUUUUCUUAGUCCCUUACAGGAUGUGAUGCUGGUCCCUGUCUUUGAAUUAAUUUUAAUCUAAGGUGGAAACAUUUGUU
RNAcentral lists this long non-coding RNA (1638 nucleotides) under Marmota monax (woodchuck). Lineage: Eukaryota; Metazoa; Chordata; Mammalia; Rodentia; Sciuridae. The record is from RNAcentral.